AGAGUGAACGCUGGCGGCAGGCCUAAUACAUGCAAGUCGAACGGCAGCACAGCAGAGCUUGCUCUGUGGGUGGCGAGUGGCGGACGGGUGAGGAAUACAUGGGAAUCUGCCCAGUCGUGGGGGAUAACGUAUGGAAACGUACGCUAAUACCGCAUGCGCCCUUCGGGGGAAAGCCGGGGACCUUCGGGCCUGGUGCGAUUGGAUGAGCCCAUGUCGGAUUAGCUAGUUGGCGGGGUAAAGGCCCACCGAAGGCGACGAUCCGUAGCUGGUCUGAGAGGAUGAUCAGCCACACUGGGACUGAGACACGGCCCAGACCUCCGUACGGGAGCAGCAGUGGGAAUUUUGGACAAGUGGGGACAACCCGUGACUCCAGCCAUUCCGCGUGAGUAGAAGAAGGCCGUUCGGUUAGUAAGUCUUCGUUUUGUACCGGUAACGGAACGGUUGCGUAGA
RNAcentral lists this ribosomal RNA (450 nucleotides) under uncultured soil bacterium. RNAcentral's name for it is "bacterial SSU rRNA". It matches the Rfam family "Bacterial small subunit ribosomal RNA", at positions 26 to 472 of the family's 1533-position model. The record is from RNAcentral.